GUUGCAGUGUGUCUGCCUAUCUACACUUGCUGUGCAGAAUAUCCUCCAACCUGUACAGCAGGCACAGACAGGCAGAUA
Mola mola (ocean sunfish) is the source of this 78-nucleotide microRNA precursor. Lineage: Eukaryota; Metazoa; Chordata; Actinopteri; Tetraodontiformes; Molidae. The record is from Ensembl.